CACGUAGGGCGCAAGCGUUGUCCGGAAUUAUUGGGCGUAAAGAGCUCGUAGGCGGUCUGUUGCGUCCGCUGUGAAAACUCGGGGCUUAACCCCGAGCCUGCAGUGGAUACGGGCAGACUAGAGGUAGGUAGGGGAGAAUGGAAUUCCCGGUGUAGCGGUGAAAUGCGCAGAUAUCGGGAGGAACACCGGUGGCGAAGGCGGUUCUCUGGGCCUUACCUGACGCUGAGGAGCGAAAGCGUGGGGAGCGAACAGGAUUAGAUACCCUGGUAGUCCACGCCGUAAACGUUGGGCGCUAGGUGUGGGAUCCUUCCACGGAUUCCGUGCCGCAGCUAACGCAUUAAGCGCCCCGCCUGGGGAGUACGGCCGCAAGGCUAAA
RNAcentral lists this ribosomal RNA (376 nucleotides) under uncultured bacterium. Its description in RNAcentral is "bacterial SSU rRNA". It matches the Rfam family "Bacterial small subunit ribosomal RNA", at positions 524 to 898 of the family's 1533-position model. The record is from RNAcentral.